Molecule: ribosomal RNA, 403 nt
Filed under: Fusobacteriota bacterium
Lineage: Bacteria; Fusobacteriati; Fusobacteriota
Description: Fusobacteria bacterium partial 16S ribosomal RNA
Rfam family: Bacterial small subunit ribosomal RNA
Source: RNAcentral
UGGGGAAUAUUGCACAAUGGAGGGAACUCUGAUUCAGCGACGCCGCGUGAACGAAGAAGGCUUUCGAGUCGUAAAGUUCUUUUAUAUGGGAAGAUAAUGGCGGUACCAUAAGAAAAAGCCCCGGCUAACUACGUGCCAGCAGCCGCGGUAAUACGUAGGGGGCUAGCGUUGUCCGGAAUCACUGGGCGUAAAGGGUUCGCAGGCGGAAAUGCAAGUCAGGUGUAAAAGGCAGUAGCUUAACUACUGUAAGCAUUUGAAACUGCAUAUCUUGAGAAGAGUAGAGGUAAGUGGAAUUUUUAGUGUAGCGGUGAAAUGCGUAGAUAUUAAAAAGAAUACCGGUGGCGAAGGCGACUUACUGGGCUCAUUCUGACGCUGAGGAACGAAAGCGUGGGUAGCAAACGGG